This 206-nucleotide ribosomal RNA is filed under the name uncultured bacterium. RNAcentral describes it as "partial 16S ribosomal RNA". It matches the Rfam family "Bacterial small subunit ribosomal RNA", at positions 524 to 726 of the family's 1533-position model. The record is from RNAcentral.
UACAGAGGUCUCAAGCGUUGUUCGGAUUUAUUGGGCGUAAAGGGCGCGUAGGCGGCGGGGGUAAGUCGGGGUGUGAAAUCUCAGGGCUCAACCCUGAAACUGCACUUGAUACUGCCUCUGCUUGAGGACUGGAGAGGAGACUGGAAUUCACGGUGUAGCAGUGAAAUGCGUAGAUAUCGUGAGGAAGACCAGUGGCGAAGGCGGGU